GGCCAGGCAGAGGAAGGGGAUCAUUCAUCAUGCUCGCAGUUCGUUAGAGAGAUAAUGUUUGAGGAAAUUAAAGCAUGGUGCAGAACUGCUCAGGGGUGCUUUUCCUGCACCGUGCAUAUGCUCAUGCUUUAUUUGCCAUUAUUCUGCUGUAAUGUAUGUUUGACUGCUAGCAAGCACAUGAAAACCUAAUAUCAGGCUCAAACUGUGCCUCCUUUAUUUAUAAACAGCUUUUCUUUUGCUUUACACUGAUGGAGCAUGAUACAGAGACAUCUUGCCAUAGACUGUGUCAGUAUAAGGUGCCAAAAAUGAAGAGGAAACAUGUUAUGUGAUUAAACAACUGAGACGUUCUGACAGAUGUUUGCCUGACAGAGUCUGCAGGAAAGGCAGCGACACUCAGAUCUGGAUGGACUCAGGACAGGCACAACCAUCUCAUGUGUGAGCUCCUCCACUGCUGUGCUACAAGAAACAAGCCAGGAUUUCCAGCCCUGGAGAAACUGAUGCUUUUUUCCAUUCCCAUCCUAAGCAAUCUGCUAGCAAAGGAAUUUAUGGAAUGUUCCCAAAUUAAUGAUGAAAAGCCGUCACACAGAAUGGUCCUCACGGUUACAGGUUGUUAAUGGUAGAGUUGGCAGAUUGGACAAAGGCAGCGUUGUCUAAACUGGCAGGGUUGCAGCAGGCAGGGAGGAUGUCUGGGUGCUCUCUUUGCUUUCCAGGUUUUCUUUGCAUAAGAAAGCACUAUUGUGUGUAUCACUUAAAAUUAGAAAUUUAAUAAUUUUUUUAAGAUUUUCUUUCCCACAUCUCAGUGCAGAUAGGGUGUUCCCAAUUACACUUUUAUGACUAUAGAUUUUGCACUUCGCAUUCACAAGAGCAUGGCAAUGUGAUUAAUGUAAAAAAUUGUCAAACAGCUUUAAUCACUGUUGAUUUCCUAUCGAUCCCUGCCCUCCCUUUUCCCAGAGAGCCACUGUGCUUGCACUGCCCUGUCAACUUUUGUGCAGUGAAUAAAAUCUUACACCUUUCUUGGUGCCCUCUUGUC
Molecule: long non-coding RNA, 1030 nt
Filed under: Cyanistes caeruleus (blue tit)
Lineage: Eukaryota; Metazoa; Chordata; Aves; Passeriformes; Paridae
Description: lncRNA (ENSCCEG00000012106.1)
Source: RNAcentral